ACUACGGGAGGCAGCAGUGGGGAAUAUUGCACAAUGGGGGAAACCCUGAUGCAGCAACGCCGCGUGGGUGAAGGAGCGUUUCGGCGCGUAAAGCCCUGUCAGCGGGGAAGAAGAAAGACGGUACCCGACCAAGAAGCCCCGGCUAACUACGUGCCAGCAGCCGCGGUAAUACGUAGGGGGCGAGCGUUAUCCGGAAUUACUGGGUGUAAAGGGGGCGCAGACGGGGAUGCAAGCCAGGAGUGAAAGCCCGGGGCCCAACCCCGGGACUGCUCUUGGAACUGCGUGGCUGGAGUGCAGGAGGGGCAGGCGGAAUUCCUGGUGUAGCGGUGAAAUGCGUAGAUAUCAGGAGGAACACCGGUGGCGAAGGCGGCCUGCUGGACUGCAACUGACGUUGAGGCCCGAAAGCGUGGGGAGCAAACAGGAUUAGAUACCCUAGUAGUC
RNAcentral lists this ribosomal RNA (441 nucleotides) under uncultured bacterium. RNAcentral describes it as "partial 16S ribosomal RNA". It matches the Rfam family "Bacterial small subunit ribosomal RNA", at positions 338 to 795 of the family's 1533-position model. The record is from RNAcentral.